CAUUGAGCCUUGAUGUGUAGGAUAGGUGGGAGGCUUUGAAGUGUGGACGCCAGUCUGCAUGGAGCCGACCUUGAAAUACCACCCUUUAAUGUUUGAUGUUCUAACGUGGACCCGUUACCCGGGUUGCGGACAGUGUCUGGUGGGUAGUUUGACUGGGGCGGUCUCCUCCUAAAGAGUAACGGAGGAGCACGAAGGUUGGCUAAUCCUGGUCGGACAUCAGGAGGUUAGUGCAAUGGCAUAAGCCAGCUUGACUGCGAGCGUGACGGCGCGAGCAGGUGCGAAAGCAGGUCAUAGUGAUCCGGUGGUUCUGAAUGGAAGGGCCAUCGCUCAACGGAUAAAAGGUACUCCGGGGAUAACAGGCUGAUACCGCCCAAGAGUUCAUAUCGACGGCGGUGUUUGGCACCUCGAUGUCGGCUCAUCACAUCCUGGGGCUGAAGUAGGUCCCAAGGGUAUGGCUGUUCGCCAUUUAAAGUGGUACGCGAGCUGGGUUUAGAACGUCGUGAGACAGUUCGGUCCCUAUCUGCCGUGGGCGCUGGAGAACUGAGGGGGGCUGCUCCUAGUACGAGAGGACCGGAGUGGACGCAUCACUGGUGUUCGGGUUGUCAUGCCAAUGGCACUGCCCGGUAGCUAAAUGCGGAAGAGAUAAGUGCUGAAAGCAUCUAAGCAC
This 667-nucleotide ribosomal RNA is filed under the name Salmonella enterica subsp. enterica serovar Weltevreden. RNAcentral describes it as "partial 23S ribosomal RNA". It matches the Rfam family "Bacterial large subunit ribosomal RNA", at positions 2122 to 2788 of the family's 2925-position model. Lineage: Bacteria; Pseudomonadati; Pseudomonadota; Gammaproteobacteria; Enterobacterales; Enterobacteriaceae. The record is from RNAcentral.